Molecule: ribosomal RNA, 255 nt
Filed under: uncultured bacterium
Lineage: Bacteria
Description: partial 16S ribosomal RNA
Rfam family: Bacterial small subunit ribosomal RNA
Source: RNAcentral
UACAGAGGGUGCGAGCGUUGUUCGGAAUUACUGGGCGUAAAGCGCGCGCAGGCGGCCCUUUAAGUCUACCCGUGAAAUGCCGGAGCUCAACUCCGUGCACGCCGGGGGAUACUGGAGGGCUGGAGACAGGUAGAGGCAGGCGGAAUUCCGGGUGUAGCGGUGGAAUGCGUAGAGAUCCGGAAGAACACCAGAGGCGAAGGCGGCCUGCUGGGCCUUGUCUGACGCUGAGGCGCGAAAGCGUGGGGAGUAAACAGG